CUUAUAAUUACACACUAUAACAGUUUUAUGUACACAUGUGUCUUUCUUUAUGUAGGGAUCAGGAUGAAGAGGAGGACCAUAUUGAUAACUUUGCUGGUGUCAAUUUAAAGGAGGAGACGGCUCAUUUUUUACCAGCAGCAUCAGACACACCCACAAAGAGCAUCAGUGAUGAAACUUUUUUAUCUACAGCAUUACUACGAAAUAAAGUGGCAACUAUUGGUUCUCGUUAUGGUGUCACAGAGAUAACUGAAGAAUUUUUAACUUUCUUGUCUCAUGCAACUGAGGU
This is a long non-coding RNA of Amphimedon queenslandica, 286 nucleotides long. RefSeq lists it as uncharacterized. The record is from RefSeq and is a predicted model, not a curated record. Lineage: Eukaryota; Metazoa; Porifera; Demospongiae; Haplosclerida; Niphatidae. The transcript is spliced from 3 exons.